GCCCUCCUAGCUCAAUCGGAAGAGCGUGGGACUUUUAAGAAAUCGCUUCUGGCUCAGUGCGAGAACCUUAAGUUAAUCCCAAGGUCGUGAGUUCGAGCCUCACGGAGGGCG
Molecule: transfer RNA, 111 nt
Filed under: Dactylellina haptotyla CBS 200.50
Lineage: Eukaryota; Fungi; Ascomycota; Orbiliomycetes; Orbiliales; Orbiliaceae
Rfam family: tRNA
About the family: Transfer RNA (tRNA) molecules are approximately 80 nucleotides in length.
Source: Rfam by way of RNAcentral